CUAUCACUUGAUCUUUGGGAGUGAGGGCAUGGGUGCUAAGGUCCAUGUCCGAAAGAGGAACAACUCAGACCACCAGCUAAGGUCCCGAAAUAAGGGCUAAGUUGAAUAAACGAAGUAAAACUGCAAAGACAGCUAGGAUGUUGGCUUGGAAGCAGCCAUUCAUUUAAAGAGUGCGUAACAGCUCACUAGUCGAGGAGUUUUGCAUGGAUAAUAAUCGGGCAUAAGCCCUUUACCGAAGCUGUGGAUGUCGUAAGACAUGGUAGGGGAGCAUUCCGGCGGCGACGAAGGCCGUCCUCGAGGACGACUGGAGCUUUCGGAAAAGCAAAUGUAGGUAUAAGUAACGAUAAAGGGGGCGCGAAACCCCCUCGCCAUAAGACUAAGGAUUCCUGAUCAACGCUAAUCGGAUCAGGGUAAGUCGGGCCCUAAGGCGCAGCCGAACGGCGUAGCCGAUGGAAGAAACGGUAAAGAUUCCGUUACUGGAUAUAGGAGCGAUGUGGAGACGGAGAAGUGACACACCCGCCUGCCGACGGAAGCGCAGGUUAAAGGAAGUAGGUAAACGCCGGGUAGGCAAAUCCGCCUGGCGUGCCGAAACUGACAGUAUCGAGAGCCCCCGGGCAAUCGAAUAGCGGUGGUAAUCAGGCUCCCAAGAAAAUCCGCUAAGCAUAUUCUAUAUCCACCCGUACCCCAAACGGACACACGUAGUCGGGUAGAAUAUACCAAGGCGCUCGAAAGACUCACGGUUAAGGAACUAGGCAAAUUGACCCUGUAACCUCGGGAAAAAGGGUCCCCAGUAAGAUGGGGCGCAGAGAAUAGGUCCAGGCAACUGUUUAACAAAAACACAGGGCUGUGCAAAAUUUCAAGAUGAAGUAUACAGCCUGACACCUGCCCGGUGCCGGAAGGUUAAGAGGAGAGCUUAUCGCAAGAGAAGGCUUGAAUUGAAGCCCCGGUAAACGGCGGCCGUAACUAUAACGGUCCUAAGGUAGCGAAAUUCCUUGUCGGGUAAGUUCCGACCUGCACGAAUGGUGUAAUGAUCUGGACACUGUCUCAACCGUGACUUCGGUGAAAUUGUAGUAUCGGUGAAGAUGCCGAUUACCCGCAACGGGACGAAAAGACCCCGUGAACCUUUACUGCAACUUAGCAUUGCGUUUGGGCAUUUGAUGUGUAGGAUAGUCCGGAGGCUACGAGUCGGCGACGCCAGUCGUCGAGGAGCCGCUGUUGAAAUACGGACCUUCGAAUGUUUGAGCGCUAACUCGCAGGAGCGAGGACACUGUUUGGUGGGUAGUUUGACUGGGGUGGUCGCCUCCAAAAGCGUAACGGAGGCUUCUAAAGGUACCCUCAGACCGAUUGGUAACCGGUCGGAGAGUGUAAUGGCACAAGGGUGCUUGACUGAGAGACCCACAAGUCGAUCAGGUAGGAAACUAGAGCAUAGUGAUCCGG
RNAcentral lists this ribosomal RNA (1437 nucleotides) under human gut metagenome. RNAcentral describes it as "bacterial LSU rRNA". It matches the Rfam family "Bacterial large subunit ribosomal RNA", at positions 963 to 2423 of the family's 2925-position model. The record is from RNAcentral.